Molecule: ribosomal RNA, 113 nt
Organism: Vicugna pacos (alpaca)
Lineage: Eukaryota; Metazoa; Chordata; Mammalia; Artiodactyla; Camelidae
Source: Ensembl
GUCUAUGGCCAUACCACCCUGAACGCGCCCGAUCUUGUCUGAUCUCGGAAGCUACGCAGGGUCGGGCCUGGUUAGUAUUUAGAUGGGAAAACAUAGGGUUAGCAUUUUGGAUG